AUAUUUUUUUAAAAAUCUACAAAAGUAAAGACACUCUGAAAAAUUACAUUUGUAAUCUGGAUAUUAUUUAAAGAGUUAGUCUUGGGCAACAUGACUGAGGCUAUGAUACUUCUCAGCCCCUGCAAAGGGGGAGGAACUCUAAAGUUCUAAAACUGAAGACUUGUCAGUGACUUCAUCUAUUAUGAAAAUCACUGAGGACUCUGAUGGGGACCACAGGGGAAGCGUCCAGAAGCAUUGGCCAACCAGAGCUUAUUCCUGGAACCAAAUUCAGGAAAAUGGAUAAGCGCCCUCACCCACUGCACUCUGGGAAGAACAAGCUCCUGGAUUACAAACAUAGACAACUGGAUUUUUCUGCAUCGGCCCUGGUGAAUACCACCUGCCAAAGAUUGCUGUGGAAACAGAUUUUGACCCCCAAUCAAAAUGUUGGCCCCAUGAAGGACUUCCACAGUGUGAGGGGAGAAGUCUAGCCCACUGUUACCCUGGCCUUUUUGCUGCCUGUGUGUGAUGCAUGACUGAGGCCUGGGCAGUCAGACAAACCCUUCAAGGACUCUGCACUGGGAACUGGUGAGCAGGAGGAGGCUGGGGCCAGAAGCUGAAAGAUU
This 602-nucleotide long non-coding RNA is filed under the name Bos indicus x Bos taurus (hybrid cattle). RNAcentral describes it as "lncRNA (ENSBIXG00000020761.1, ENSBIXG00005028605.1)". Lineage: Eukaryota; Metazoa; Chordata; Mammalia; Artiodactyla; Bovidae. The record is from RNAcentral.